RNAcentral lists this transfer RNA (75 nucleotides) under Alkalilimnicola ehrlichii MLHE-1. RNAcentral's name for it is "tRNA-Gln (TTG) (tRNA-Gln-TTG-1-1)". It matches the Rfam family "tRNA". Rfam says of the family: Transfer RNA (tRNA) molecules are approximately 80 nucleotides in length. Their secondary structure includes four short double-helical elements and three loops (D, anti-codon, and T loops). RNAcentral also lists the same sequence under 1 other name. Lineage: Bacteria; Pseudomonadati; Pseudomonadota; Gammaproteobacteria; Chromatiales; Ectothiorhodospiraceae. The record is from RNAcentral.
UGGGGCGUCGCCAAGCGGUAAGGCACGGGUUUUUGGUACCCGCAUUCCCAGGUUCGAAUCCUGGCGCCCCAGCCA